UUCAGUCUUCCACUAAAAACUCCUACUUUCGUCUUUCAUUUCUUCAGUUUUCUCUCAUCUCCUCAGUCCCCUCUCUUCUUCUUCUUUCUGUGGUCUGCACUUUGCCUCUCGCACGUUCUCCCCUUUACUUGCCACAAUAUCUCUCCUUUUCUUUUCACCUAACGAAUACAGAUGCUUCCUUUUCAAAGCUGCUAUGGGUUCGUUCGUCAUGAUCCAAGCCUGGUCAACGUAAUGGACUUGGACGCCGGAGAAUCGAUCCUCAGCUCCUCGUCGAGAUCGCAAAAGAAAUCAACAGAUGCAUGCAAGAGCCAUAAGGAAGCUGAGAGGAGACGCAGACAGCGUAUCAACGCCCACCUCUCUACUCUCCGUACUCUCCUGCCCAGCACCACUAAGGUUGGUUAUUUUUGUAUUUCUUUCUCUUCCUCUUUUCGAAUGCCUUAGUUCGUGAAUAGCGUAAAAUCUAAAGGACAUUAACGUAAUUUGGAUUUCUCUCUUAUUUUGGUCUAUAAACAGACAGACAAGGCCUCGUUGCUAGCGGAGGUGGUGCAUCACGUGAAGGAGCUAAGAAGGCAAGCCGCUCACUUGGCGCGUCAUCAGGAUAGCGACAGUUGCUGUAGCAUCAGCAGCAGCGGAGGAGGAGCAGAGCCUGAGCAGAACUGUGCGUUUCCUGGAGAAUCAGACGAGGCGACUUUGAGUUAUUGUGAUGGUGACGCGAAGACGAUAAGGUUGAGCAUUUGUUGUGAGGACAGACCUGGGUUGAACCGGGAUUUAUCUCAGGCGAUCCGGUUGGUUCGAGCCAGGGCGGUCCGAGCUGAGAUGAUGACGGUUGGAGGACGGACUAAAAGUGUGGUAGUGCUGCAAUGGGCUAAUGGCGGUGGUGGAGAUGAGGAGGUGGGAAUUCUGAGAAGAGCAUUGAAGGCCGUUGUGGAAAAUCGGGUCUCGGGUUCUGGACUGGGCCAUGUGGUCCAUGGGAAUAAACGGGUUCGAGGCUAUGGUUGGGUUAACGGUGAUGAUCAGUUUUGAAUGAAAAAUGAUGAAUUGAUCUGAAAAAUUUUGUAUAUUUUAAUAUUUGUUUAGUGGGAGUUGGUCAUAGUUGGUCCACCAAAUGUUAUAGAAGCAAAACUCUUCAAUUUCCUAUCCAUGCCACCUCAUUCCAAGAAACGAAAUUUCCAUACAAAAGCGAAAUGGAAUGGAAUAAAGUCCG
This 1204-nucleotide unclassified non-coding RNA is filed under the name Hevea brasiliensis (rubber tree). Lineage: Eukaryota; Viridiplantae; Streptophyta; Magnoliopsida; Malpighiales; Euphorbiaceae. The record is from RNAcentral.